UACGUAGGGCGCAAGCGUUGUCCGGAAUUAUUGGGCGUAAAGAGCUCGUAGGCGGUCUGUUACGUCCGCUGUGAAAACCCGGGGCUUAACCCUGGGCUGGCAGUGGAUACGGGUAGACUAGAGGCAGGUAGGGGAGAAUGGAAUUCCCGGUGUAGCGGUGAAAUGCGCAGAUAUCAGGAAGAACACCCGUGGCGAAGGCGGCGACCUGGGCCAAUAUUGACGCUGAGGUGCGAAAGCGUGGGGAGCGAACAGG
Molecule: ribosomal RNA, 253 nt
Filed under: uncultured bacterium
Lineage: Bacteria
Description: partial 16S ribosomal RNA
Rfam family: Bacterial small subunit ribosomal RNA
Source: RNAcentral